Molecule: non-coding RNA, 72 nt
Organism: Ictidomys tridecemlineatus (thirteen-lined ground squirrel)
Lineage: Eukaryota; Metazoa; Chordata; Mammalia; Rodentia; Sciuridae
Source: Rfam
GGGGUUGUGGCUCAGUGGUAGAGCAUUUGCUUAGCAUGCAUGAGGCACUGGGUUCAAUCCUCAACAACACAU